CGGGGUGCAGCAGGCGCGAAAACUUUACAAUGCCGGCAACGGCGAUAAGGGAACCUCGAGUGCCAGGUUACAAAUCUGGCUGUCGUGAUGCCUAAAAAGCAUUGCAUAGCAAGGGCCGGGCAAGACCGGUGCCAGCCGCCGCGGUAACACCGGCGGCUCGAGUGGUAACCGUUAUUAUUGGGUCUAAAGGGUCUGUAGCCGGCCGGAUAAGUCUCUUGGGAAAUCUGGCAGCUUAACUGUCAGGCUUUCAGGAGAUACUGUCUGGCUCGAGGCCGGGAGAGGUGAGAGGUACUUCAGGGGUAGGGGUGAAAUCUUGUAAUCCUUGAAGGACCACCAGUGGCGAAGGCGUCUCACCAGAACGGACCUGACGGCAAGGGACGAAAGCUAGGGGCACGAACCGGAUUAGAUACCCGGGUAGUCCUAGCCGUAAACGAUACUCGCUAGGUGUCGGCCACGGUGCGACCGUGGUCGGUGCCGUAGGGAAGCCGUGAAGCGAGCCACCUGGGAAGUACGGCCGCAAGGCUGAAACUUAAAGGAAUUGG
Molecule: ribosomal RNA, 542 nt
Filed under: uncultured archaeon
Lineage: Archaea
Description: bacterial SSU rRNA
Rfam family: Archaeal small subunit ribosomal RNA
Source: RNAcentral